GGGGGACAAUUUUGUAAUCAGGGGGAGGCAACACAAGGGGGAAAACCCUAAAAAACUAAACAGCUUCCUCUCCCUCAUGAAGGACCAGCCGGCAGCCCCUGCUGGGUUUUGAUUUUUUUUCAGCCGCCGGCUCCCCCAGAUAUCCCCUUUUGGAUUUUUUUUGCUUCCCCUCAGCAGCGGGCACAAGCAGCAGCCCCUCUCUUGCAAAAAACACAAACCAGGGCACAUCCGUUUUCUCCUUCAUUUUUUUUUCCUCGGUUCCACCGAUCAUCCUCCACUCAAAAGCCAAACAAGCCCUUCCCCUGGUUUUGAAUUUUUUUACAUUGGAACCCCCCUCUUCUUCUUCUUCAGCCCCGAUCCAAACGGAGCCGUCCCCCCCGCUGGUUUUGAUUUCUUUUCUCCAGUCGCCGGCCUCCCCAUUUUUUCUUCUCACAGGCCGACACCGGCCAAACAGUCCCUCUCCCUUCUCCUCCAAAACCGAACCGAUCCCCUCCUGGUCGAUCCAUCCUAGCAGCUGCUUCUCCCCGCAGACCCGUGAUCAUCAACGCCGCCACAGACCCGAUUUCCUCAGCACCAUGACCGGCUAGCCUCACAGACGACAGCAACAAGAUCCACGGGCAACAGCAGCAGGCGAUCUUCCAUCUUCAACCGGCGACAGACCCACGGUCUCCCUCUUCAGUCGCAGGUGCCAUUUCUUCUUCGCCCUCCGAUCAGACCACCGUUUCUCUUCCCCUGGCCGGACAUCCAUCCCAUCGCCACCGUAGCUUCAGCGGCCACGGACGACCUGCAACCGGCAGAGAAUCCCCACAGAGAAGAAGGCGAAACAGAGAGGGGCAGAUCCAAAACGGCGGAGAGAGGAAGGACAGAAAAAAACAGAUCUGAAAAACUAAGAAAAAAUUAAAAUCAACUGCUUUACUUGCGUUUUUUGUGCGUUUGCAGGUGACGGUGGGUGUCACCACCGGCAGAGAAGGGAAGAGAAGGAGAAAACAGGGCAGAUCCGCCCGUUUCCGGCAUGGUCGGCCACUGUUCCUGCGGGUGGCAGAAGGGCAAUGCUGCAAUUUCUGGAGUUUAGAGACUAUUUUGUAAUUUUGUAAAUUAUGUAAUGUAAUUUUUAUUUAGUUUGAAUUGUUUUUAUAAUUUGUAAUGUGAUGUAUAAAAAGAACAAAAAAAAAAGAGAAAAUAAUAAUAGAAAAAGAGUUGUGUGUGUGUUUGGUAUUUGUUUUUCCUAUGUAUGUUGUUGAAUCAAAAGAAAAAAAAUGAAUUUAAUAUUUUAAUUUAUAUGCACAAAUAUCUAAA
This 1296-nucleotide long non-coding RNA is filed under the name Populus tremula. RNAcentral describes it as "long non-coding RNA (PTRE_LNC002037)". The record is from RNAcentral. Lineage: Eukaryota; Viridiplantae; Streptophyta; Magnoliopsida; Malpighiales; Salicaceae.